CAGUAGCCGCGGUAAUACAGAGGGUGCAAGCGUUAAUCGGAAUUACUGGGCGUAAAGCGCGCGUAGGUGGUUUGUUAAGUUGGAUGUGAAAUCCCCGGGCUCAACCUGGGAACUGCAUCCAAAACUGGCAGGCUAGAGUAGGGCAGAGGGUGGUGGAAUUUCCUGUGUAGCGGUGAAAUGCGUAGAUAUAGGAAGGAACACCAGUGGCGAAGGCGACCACCUGGGCUCAUACUGACACUGAGGUGCGAAAGCGUGGGAGCAAACAGGAUUAGAGACCCCUGUAGUCCCUGUCUCUUAUACA
This 301-nucleotide ribosomal RNA is filed under the name uncultured bacterium. RNAcentral describes it as "partial 16S ribosomal RNA". It matches the Rfam family "Bacterial small subunit ribosomal RNA", at positions 509 to 808 of the family's 1533-position model. The record is from RNAcentral.